This 498-nucleotide ribosomal RNA is filed under the name uncultured soil bacterium. Its description in RNAcentral is "bacterial SSU rRNA". It matches the Rfam family "Bacterial small subunit ribosomal RNA", at positions 26 to 519 of the family's 1533-position model. The record is from RNAcentral.
AGAUUGAACGCUGGCGGCAUGCUUUACACAUGCAAGUCGAACGGUAACAGGCCGCAAGGUGCUGACGAGUGGCGAACGGGUGAGUAAUGCAUCGGAACGUGCCCAGUCGUGGGGGGAUAACGCAGCGAAAGCUGUGCUAAUACCGCAUACGAUCUAUGGAUGAAAGCGGGGGACCGAAAGGCCUCGCGCGAUUGGAGCGGCCGAUGUCAGAUUAGCUAGUUGGUGGGUAAAGGCCACCAAGGCGACGAUCUGUAGCUGGUCUGAGAGGACGACCAGCCACACUGGAACUGAGACACGGUCCAGACUCCUACGGGAGGCAGCAGUGGGGAAUUUUGGACAAUGGGCGCAAGCCUGAUCCAGCAAUGCCGCGUGCAGGAAGAAGGCCUUGGUGUAAACUGCUUUUGUACGGAACGAAACGGUCUAGGGUUAAUACCGUCGGCUAAGUGACGGUAACCGUUAAGAAUAAGACGACCGGCUAACUACGUGCCAGCAGCCGUA